AGUAAGGUGCCUGAUUAAAGGGUUAAUUUGAUAGAUUAAAUAACGAACAG
Molecule: transfer RNA, 50 nt
Filed under: Hypochilus thorelli
Lineage: Eukaryota; Metazoa; Arthropoda; Arachnida; Araneae; Hypochilidae
Description: tRNA-Ile
Source: RNAcentral